Non-coding RNA from Danio rerio (zebrafish), 745 nucleotides. Lineage: Eukaryota; Metazoa; Chordata; Actinopteri; Cypriniformes; Danionidae. The record is from Ensembl.
CACACACACACACACACACACACACACGCAUAUGAGCUGCUUCCAAAGCUCCUCAAGUACAGUUUUCCAGCAAACAAAUCAGCUUUAUCUAAUGUCUCGCUGUUCGGCAAACCUGGCCUACAGAUGCACUAAAGGCUGACCACUUUUAAGUCAGUGAGCGUUGCUCAACAGGCCACUUCCACAGAUGGUCCUGUGCUGUAAGCCUGCCCCCCUUCCACACACACACACACACACACACACACACACACCAACUUCUAAUUGCAAGAUUUAGCUUUUGAAUGCAUUUUGAGUUGAAGAUCUUUUUCCUGCUGUUUUAUUAUUAUGAAAGAAGGAAACGUGGCUUGUUGAUUUGUGUACAGCAUAAACAAUUUUUCUCAAAGAUCCUGUAUUGCUGUUAUUGAAUGAUAACUCAAUUUCCCUUAAAUGCAAAGGUCUGUAAAUUUUGGUUAGCUGCUCCAAUGAAAAUGUUGGGACUGAGGUAGAAACCCCCUCAUGAUCUUUCUGUUAAGCACUGAUUGCAUCCUUUAUUGGAAAUACUGUAUCUGGAACUGUCAUCAGUACGGAUCAGCCAUGCUAAACUAGACAUUCAGGCUGUGUGGAAAAUCUAUACAGGCGACGUCAAAGAAAUAGUGGACACUUAACUCUCAUCUGAUACUACAAAUGUCAAAUUUAAUGUCAUUUAUCUAAUAGCUUGGUCUAAACUAGUUAUUCUGUUUCCUGAUGUGCAUAUAAUGGGGUGGGCGAU